RNAcentral lists this transfer RNA (73 nucleotides) under Pseudomonadota bacterium. Its description in RNAcentral is "tRNA-Ala". It matches the Rfam family "tRNA". Rfam says of the family: Transfer RNA (tRNA) molecules are approximately 80 nucleotides in length. Their secondary structure includes four short double-helical elements and three loops (D, anti-codon, and T loops). Further hydrogen bonds mediate the characteristic L-shaped molecular structure. tRNAs have two regions of fundamental functional importance: the anti-codon, which is responsible for specific mRNA codon recognition, and the 3' end, to which the tRNAs corresponding amino acid is attached (by aminoacyl-tRNA synthetases). tRNAs cope with the degeneracy of the genetic code in two manners: having more than one tRNA (with a specific anti-codon) for a particular amino acid; and 'wobble' base-pairing, i.e. permitting non-standard base-pairing at the 3rd anti-codon position. The record is from RNAcentral. Lineage: Bacteria; Pseudomonadati; Pseudomonadota. RNAcentral also lists the same sequence under 1 other name.
GGGCUCGUAGCUUAGCUGGUAGAGCGCAGCAUUCGCAUUGCUGAGGUCGGGAGUUCAAAUCUCCUCGAGUCCA